UACGAAGGGGGCUAGCGUUGUUCGGAAUUACUGGGCGUAAAGGGCGCGCAGGCGGCUAGGCGUGUCGGGCGUGAAAGGCCUGGGCUCAACCCGGGAACGGCGUCCGCGACUGCUUGGCUAGAGUGUGGGAGAGGAUGGUGGAAUUCCCAGUGUAGAGGUGAAAUUCGUAGAUAUUGGGAAGAACACCGGUGGCGAAGGCGGCCAUCUGGACCACAACUGACGCUGAGGCGCGAAAGCGUGGGGAGCAAACAGG
This 253-nucleotide ribosomal RNA is filed under the name uncultured bacterium. RNAcentral's name for it is "partial 16S ribosomal RNA". It matches the Rfam family "Bacterial small subunit ribosomal RNA", at positions 524 to 776 of the family's 1533-position model. The record is from RNAcentral.